UUUUUUUCAUAAAAAGAGUGCUUUUUGUCAUAAUAUGUAAAUGGUAGAUAUAGCACGAGGAUUAUUCAUGUCAAAAUAGAAGAUGACAGCAAGUUAUUUUGUGAAUUGUGCUAUAUUAGAGCGUUAUAUGCAAUUAUACGCGUCAAUCAUCUGCAAACACCAAGCUAUAUGAUAACAGUGCCAUAAAAUUGUGCUCCAGGCGUGAACAUAUGCUUGAAGACAUCAUACUUUCCAAGUGUCCUUGUUUGUUUUCUUCCAGUCCCUCUCCCAAAUCCCCAUGCCUCUCUUUCCUCCCCUGUUCCCCAGAUCCCCUCUACAUCACUUUAUUCCAAUCAA
Long non-coding RNA from Spea bombifrons (plains spadefoot toad), 336 nucleotides. RefSeq lists it as uncharacterized. The record is from RefSeq and is a predicted model, not a curated record. The transcript is spliced from 2 exons. NCBI's taxonomy places the organism in Eukaryota, Metazoa, Chordata, Amphibia, Anura, Pelobatidae.